RNAcentral lists this ribosomal RNA (1234 nucleotides) under metagenome. RNAcentral's name for it is "bacterial LSU rRNA". It matches the Rfam family "Bacterial large subunit ribosomal RNA", at positions 1564 to 2808 of the family's 2925-position model. The record is from RNAcentral.
UGAAUACGAGACGCUACGGCGUCGAAGCAGUCUAUGUCAUACUUCCAAGAAAAGCUCGCAAUGUCAUAAACAAAUAAUGCCUGUACCAUAACCGACAUAGGUGGGUAGGUAGAGUAUACUAAGGGGCGCGAGAUAACUCUCUCUAAGGAACUCGGCAAAAUGACUCCGUAACUUCGGGAGAAGGAGUGCCUUAUUUAUAAGGUUGCAAUAACAAGAUCCAAGCAACUGUUUAUCAAAAACACAGGUCUCCGCUAAGUCGUAAGACGAUGUAUGGGGGCUGACGCCUGCCCAGUGCCAGAAGGUUAAAGAAGUUGGUUAGCAUUCGCGAAGCUGAUAACUGAAGCCCUGGUGAACGGCGGCCGUAACAAUAACGGUCCUAAGGUAGCGAAAUUCCUUGUCGGGUAAGUUCCGACCCGCACGAAAGGCGUAAUGAUUUGGAUACUGUCUCGGAGAGGGGCUCGGUGAAAUAGACUUGUCUGUGAAGAUGCGGACUACCUGCACCUGGACAGAAAGACCCUAUGAAGCUUUACUGUAACUUGAAAUUGAAAUUGGACUUUAUUUGCGCAGCAUAGGUGGGAGGCGUUGAGAGUAUUCUUGCGGGAAUAUUGGAGCCAUCAGUGAGAUACCACUCUUGUAAUGUUAGAUUUCUAACUUUGGAUCAUUAUCUGGUCAAAGAACAGUUUCAGGCGGGCAGUUUGACUGGGGCGGUCGCCUCCCAAAUGGUAACGGAGGCGUACAAAGGUUUCCUCUGAACGGGUAGAAAUCGUAUCUAGAGUGUAAAGGCAUAAGGAAGCUUGACUGUGAGACCUACAAAUCGAGCAGGGACGAAAGUCGGUCUUAGUGAUCUGACGGUGCUGAGUGGAAAGGCCGUCACUCAACGGAUAAAAGUUACUCUAGGAUAACAGGCUGAUCUCCCCCAAGAGUUCACAUCGACGGGGAGGUUUGGCACCUCGAUGUCGGCUCAUCGCAUCCUGGGGCGGUAGUACGUCCCAAGGGUUGGGCUGUUCGCCCAUGAAAGCGGUACGCGAGCUGGGUUCAGAACGUCGUGAGACAGUUCGGUCCAUAUCCGGUGUAGGCGUUAGAAUAUUGAGAGGAGCCUUCUUUAGUACGAGAGGACCGAGAAGGACAUACCUCUGGUGUACCAGUUAUCGUGCCAACGGUAAACGCUGGGUAGCUAUGUAUGGAGAGGAUAACCGCUGAAAGCAUCUAAGUGGGAAGCCCACCUCAAGAUAAG